RNAcentral lists this ribosomal RNA (276 nucleotides) under uncultured bacterium. Its description in RNAcentral is "partial 16S ribosomal RNA". It matches the Rfam family "Bacterial small subunit ribosomal RNA", at positions 333 to 606 of the family's 1533-position model. The record is from RNAcentral.
AGGGCCCUACGGGACGCAGCAGUGAGGAAUAUUGGUCAAUGGCCGCAGGGCUGAACCAGCCAAGUCGCGUGAGGGAUGACGGUCCUAUGGAUUGUAAACCUCUUUUGUCAGGGAGCAAAGGGCGCCACGUGUGGCGCUUUGCGAGUACCUGAAGAAAAAGCAUCGGCUAACUCCGUGCCAGCAGCCGCGGUAAUACGGAGGAUGCGAGCGUUAUCCGGAUUUAUUGGGUUUAAAGGGUGCGCAGGCGGAAUGUCAAGUCAGCGGUAAAUUUUGGGG